UGCCAGCAGCUGCGGUAAUACGGAGGGUGCAAGCGUUAUCCGGAAUCACUGGGCGUAAAGGGCGCGCAGGUGGUCUUUCAAGUCCGAUGUCAAAUCCCGGGGCUCAACCCCGGUCCGGCGUUGGAUACUGCUAGGCUUGACGACUGGAGAGGUGAGUGGAAUUACCAGUGUAGCGGUGGAAUGCGUAGAUACUGGUAGGAACACCCAUUGCGAAGGCAGCUCACUGGACAGUCCGUGACACUGAGGCGCGAAAGUGUGGGGAGCAAACCGGAUUAGAAACCCUAGUAGUCC
RNAcentral lists this ribosomal RNA (291 nucleotides) under uncultured bacterium. RNAcentral describes it as "partial 16S ribosomal RNA". It matches the Rfam family "Bacterial small subunit ribosomal RNA", at positions 506 to 796 of the family's 1533-position model. The record is from RNAcentral.